RNAcentral lists this long non-coding RNA (2240 nucleotides) under Homo sapiens (human). Its description in RNAcentral is "HSALNT0372138". The record is from RNAcentral. Lineage: Eukaryota; Metazoa; Chordata; Mammalia; Primates; Hominidae.
UUAAGUGAUCCGCCAGCCUUGGCCUCCAAAAGGGCUGGGAUUACAGGCACGAGCCACCUUGCCUGGCUCCAAUUUCUUGAUAAUUUGUUUCAUUACCCUAGGCAAUUGUCAGGUAGAUAGCCCUAAAUUUGUAUACCGAAGGAACAACUCUCAGGUGAAAAUCAGCAAAAUUUACUUCUCAAAGGAAAGAGAGAGAGAGAAUCUGUUGUGUUAACAGGGUGAUUAAAAAAUGGAUACCAAGUCAAACAUAAAAUUACAGAAAUCUACCACAGGAUUGUAUAAAGAGACCAAUCACACUUAGAUAGUUUUAAACGUAGUCUCUGUUUUAACUGGAUCUCUGAGCUCUGAGCACAGCCCACAUUCAAUCCUGGGUCUCCAAAAAGGAGAGAGAAAUCAUGGGACUAGGCCACAUAAUGCUUUUAUGGUGUUACUUUGUUACAAAGAUGUUGCUUGAGUGUCUAAGCACCCUUUCUUAUUCUAAACUCCCAAGAGUAGCCCCUGUAAUAAUAACUAUUUCAGUUAAAAAAAAUCAGAAAACAAAAUAUAGAAGCAAGGAGUUUAAGAUCUGAGAGGAACUUGUUUAUACUCUUAGGGUUCCAUAAGGAAAAACAGAGGUUUUGCCCCCAGAAGGAGUCUGGCAUCUUCUCUGUUUUCUUUAAGGAAUCCCAGCUCCAAUUUCUUGAUAAUUUGUCUCAUUACCAUUGUUAAAAUUAUUUCCAGUGCCUCAUGCAGCAGAGGGUGGGAAGAGAAAGGAGAGACAGGCAGAAGUAAAUAGAAAAAGCAGAAUUCAGUUGACUGAGAAGAAAAAAACUUUUUUACAAAAACACGUUCCUAGAAGACAAAAAAACAUAAAGUCCUUUUACAUACACACACACACACACACACACACACACACACACGGAUUGCGGAUACUAUCUUUUAAUUAAGCUGCCUUUUAACUGUUGAGGUCUUAAAAAAUCCUUUUAAAUAUUAUUACCAUAUUUUAGCUGGGAAAAGCUGCUGAUAUUUCAAAGGUAAAAUAAAUCUCAAACCAGAAAGGACUUGAUUCAUAACCAACCAACCCAGGCUGUCAUGCUAAAAAAAAGGGCAGAAUCUUUGCUGCUGAACUACUGCAUAGGGUGACUACCAUUGCUCCUUUAGUUUAGUUUGGCUAGCAGAAGGUGGUCUUGCCAUGUAAAUAAAGCCUCUCAGGUAAUCAAAAUGUUUCUUUUUUUACUUUUGCUGGUGUUUUUUUCUUUUCUUUUUUUUUUCAGCUACAGGAAUUUAGCCAAUUCAGAGGAAAUCUUCCCCAUAAUUAUGGAACUUUCUUACAGAUUUUACCAAGUCUGGUCAACCCAAUAAGAAAAAGACUGAAAUAACAACAACAACUUCAACAAAUAAAAAAAAACAGUUAAGCUAAAUAAACAGAUGAUUGCAGAAUUUAUGUGAUUACUGGGUACUCUAAUGGUAAGGAGAAAUUAAGACCAGCUAGUUGUUAAUCUUAACUUUUAGUCAUUAAGGAGAAUUUCCAAGACAAAACUGCAAUCCAGCUGCUUACCUAGGAAUACGGCUUAGGCUGAAAACUUCUAUCGUCUUAGAAAUGGGAAUAAACCUCACACUCACCGUCCCUGUUGGAAGCAAGCUGAAACUCCAAAAAAAAAGUUGCCUGUUGUCCAUCAUCAUGGUGAAGCGGCGUCGUUGUCUGGGAACCCAAUUGGAGACGUUGGAUAUUUUAUCAAGUCUUUGACUGGAAUGACAUUUUUUCAGAAAUAACCAGACUGCUUUGAGGAAUUAAAAUUGACUUUAAGGGCUGAGAAAAACCCCUUGGAAAAACUGGCAUGGUACCCUCUGCAUGCAAUUCCUUUACAAAGCUCCUGACCUGUGUUCUGAAGGCUGGGAAGUCCAAGAUUAAGGCGUCAACAGGUCUUGUGUCUGCUGAGGGCUGUCUCCCUGAUUUGCAGAUGUCUGCUUUCUUGCUGUGUCCUCACAUGGGAAAAAGAGAGAGAAUUUGCUGGUAUUCCUUUUUAUAAGGACACUAACCCCAUUCAUGAGGGUCCCACCCUCAUGACCUCGCCUAAACCUAUAACCUCCAAGGACUCCAUUUCCAAAUACCAGCAACCACAUGUGUGAGCUUAGAAGAGGAUCCUUCCCCAGGUGAGCCUUGAGAUGACCCUGGCCUGUGACUUGAUGGCAGCUUUUGAGAGACUGAGCCAGAGGCCUCCAGUCUCCCUCUCCCUCUCUUUCCACGGUCUCCCUCUGAU